Molecule: ribosomal RNA, 536 nt
Filed under: uncultured Agromyces sp.
Lineage: Bacteria; Bacillati; Actinomycetota; Actinomycetes; Micrococcales; Microbacteriaceae
Description: bacterial SSU rRNA
Rfam family: Bacterial small subunit ribosomal RNA
Source: RNAcentral
UGGGGAAUAUUGCACAAUGGGCGCAAGUCUGAUGCAGCAACGCCGCGUGCGGGAUGACGGCCUUCGGGUUGUAAACCGCUUUUAGUAGGGAAGAAGGGCUUCGGCUUGACGGUACCUGCAGAAAAAGGACCGGCUAACUACGUGCCAGCAGCCGCGGUAAUACGUAGGGUCCGAGCGUUGUCCGGAAUUAUUGGGCGUAAAGAGCUCGUAGGCGGUUUGUCGCGUCUGCUGUGAAAUCCCGAGGCUCAACCUCGGGCCUGCAGUGGGUACGGGCAGACUGGAGUGCGGUAGGGGAGAAUGGAAUUCCUGGUGUAGCGGUGGAAUGCGCAGAUAUCAGGAGGAACACCGAUGGCGAAGGCAGUUCUCUGGGCCGUAACUGACGCUGAGGAGCGAAAGCGUGGGGAGCGAACAGGAUUAGAUACCCUGGUAGUCCACGCCGUAAACGUUGGGCGCUAGAUGUGGGGACCUUUCCACGGUUUCCGUGUCGUAGCUAACGCAUUAAGCGCCCCGCCUGGGGAGUACGGCCGCAAGGCUAA